RNAcentral lists this ribosomal RNA (264 nucleotides) under uncultured bacterium. RNAcentral's name for it is "partial 16S ribosomal RNA". It matches the Rfam family "Bacterial small subunit ribosomal RNA", at positions 524 to 787 of the family's 1533-position model. The record is from RNAcentral.
UACGGAGGGUGCAAACGUUGCUCGGAAUCAUUGGGCGUAAAGCGCACGUAGGCGGUCCAGCAAGUCGGGUGUGAAAGCCCUCGGCUUAACCGGGGAAGUGCAUUCGAAACUACUGGACUUGAGUACUGAAGAGGAUCGCGGAAUUCCCGGUGUAGAGGUGAAAUUCGUAGAUAUCGGGAGGAACACCAGUGGCGAAGGCGGGUUGCUGGGCCGACACCUGACGCUGAUGCGCGAAAGCCAGGGGAGCGAACGGGAUAGAAACCC